GAUGAACGCUGGCGGCGUGCCUAAUACAUGCAAGUCGAGCGAACAGACGAGGAGCUUGCUCCUCUGACGUUAGCGGCGGACGGGUGAGUAACACGUGGAUAACCUACCUAUAAGACUGGGAUAACUUCGGGAAACCGGAGCUAAUACCGGAUAAUAUAUUGAACCGCAUGGUUCAAUAGUGAAAGACGGUUUUGCUGUCACUUAUAGAUGGAUCCGCGCCGCAUUAGCUAGUUGGUAAGGUAACGGCUUACCAAGGCAACGAUGCGUAGCCGACCUGAGAGGGUGAUCGGCCACACGGGAACGGAGACACGGUCCAGACUCCUACGGGAGGCAGCAGUAGGGAAUCUGCCGCAAUGGGCGAAAGCAUGACGGAGCAACGCCGCGUGAGUGAUGAAGGUCUUCGGAUCGUAAAACUCUGUUAUUAGGGAAGAACAAAUGUGUAAGUAACUAUGCACGUCUUGACGGUACCUAAUCAGAAAGCCACGGCUAACUACGUG
Molecule: ribosomal RNA, 497 nt
Filed under: uncultured bacterium
Lineage: Bacteria
Description: partial 16S ribosomal RNA
Rfam family: Bacterial small subunit ribosomal RNA
Source: RNAcentral